AAUAAGGAAGAGAGAAAACAAUG
Molecule: non-coding RNA, 23 nt
Filed under: Cricetulus griseus (Chinese hamster)
Lineage: Eukaryota; Metazoa; Chordata; Mammalia; Rodentia; Cricetidae
Source: RNAcentral